This 75-nucleotide transfer RNA is filed under the name Candidatus Saccharimonadota bacterium. RNAcentral describes it as "tRNA-Asn". It matches the Rfam family "tRNA". From Rfam's summary of the family: Transfer RNA (tRNA) molecules are approximately 80 nucleotides in length. Their secondary structure includes four short double-helical elements and three loops (D, anti-codon, and T loops). Lineage: Bacteria; Candidatus Saccharimonadota. The record is from RNAcentral.
UCCGGAGUAGCUCAAUGGUAGAGCAUUCGACUGUUAAUCGAAUUGUUGCCGGUUCGAGUCCGGCCUCCGGAGCCA